GACGAACGCUGGCGGCGUGCUUAACACAUGCAAGUCGAGCGGUAAGGCCCUUUCGGGGUACACGAGCGGCGAACGGGUGAGUAACACGUGGGUGACCUGCCCUCAGCUCUGGGAUAAGCCUGGGAAACCGGGUCUAAUACCGGAUAUGACUCCAUGACGCAUGUUGUGGGGUGGAAAGCCUUGUGCGGCUGAGGAUGGGCCCGCGGCCUAUCAGCUUGUUGGUGGGGUGAGGCCUACCAAGGCGACGACGGGUAGCCGGCCUGAGAGGCGACCGGCCACACUGGGACUGAGACACGGCCCAGACUCCUACGGGAGGCAGCAGUGGGGAAUCUUGCGCAAUGGGCGAAAGCCUGACGCAGCGACGCCGCGUGAGGGAUGACGGCCUC
This 386-nucleotide ribosomal RNA is filed under the name uncultured bacterium. RNAcentral's name for it is "bacterial SSU rRNA". It matches the Rfam family "Bacterial small subunit ribosomal RNA", at positions 28 to 418 of the family's 1533-position model. The record is from RNAcentral.